This 29-nucleotide non-coding RNA is filed under the name Rattus norvegicus (Norway rat). Lineage: Eukaryota; Metazoa; Chordata; Mammalia; Rodentia; Muridae. The record is from RNAcentral.
UCCUAACUCAGGCUACCAGGUUCUACGAA